CUCAUGGAGUGUUCGAUCCUGGUUCAAGAUUAAUGUUGUCGGCAUUUACACAUGCAAGUCGAAGUGGUGUUUCCAAUGGUGGACCGGUGAGUAACGCGUAAAAACCUACCCUGGGAAGGAGAACAACAACUGGAUUUGGCUGCUAAUACCCUGUAGGCUGAGGAGCAAAAGAAGGAAUCCGCCCAAUGAGGAACUUGGGUCUGAUUAACUAGUUCGUGAGACAAAAGCUUACCAAUGGUCCGAGCAGAUGAUUGGUCCGAGAGAAUGAUUAGCCACACUGGCAUUGAGACAUGGCUCAAACCCUUACAGGCGGCAACAGUGGGAAAUUUUCUGCAAUGGGCAAAAGCCUGACGGAGUUAUGGGUCAUGAAUUUCUUUUUUUAGAAAAGAAACAAUGAUGGUAUCCAAGGAAUAUGCAUUGGCUAGGUAAGACAGAAUGUAAACUUUAUCCGAAAUGAUUGGGCUGGGUAAGACUGAGGAUACAAGCGAACUGAUUGGGCAAAAUGCCUUUGUAUGGGCAAUUGUUUU
This 527-nucleotide non-coding RNA is filed under the name Vigna radiata var. radiata (mung bean). Its description in RNAcentral is "Bacterial small subunit ribosomal RNA". It matches the Rfam family "Bacterial small subunit ribosomal RNA", at positions 1 to 622 of the family's 1533-position model. Lineage: Eukaryota; Viridiplantae; Streptophyta; Magnoliopsida; Fabales; Fabaceae. The record is from Rfam by way of RNAcentral.